GACGAACGCUGGCGGCGUGCUUAACACAUGCAAGUCGAACGGAAAGGCCCUGCUUUUGUGGGGUGCUCGAGUGGCGAACGGGUGAGUAACACGUGAGUAACCUGCCCUUGACUUUGGGAUAACUUCAGGAAACUGGGGCUAAUACCGGAUAGGAGCUCCUGCUGCAUGGUGGGGGUUGGAAAGUUUCGGCGGUUGGGGAUGGACUCGCGGCUUAUCAGCUUGUUGGUGGGGUAGUGGCUUACCAAGGCUUUGACGGGUAGCCGGCCUGAGAGGGUGACCGGCCACAUUGGGACUGAGAUACGGCCCAGACUCCUACGGGAGGCAGCAGUGGGGAAUAUUGCACAAUGGGCGGAAGCCUGAUGCAGCAACGCCGCGUGCGGGAUGACGGCCUUCGGGUUGUAAACCGCUUUCGCCUGUGACGAAGCGUGAGUGACGGUAAUGGGUAAAGAAGCACCGGCUAACUACGUGCCAGCAGCCGCGGUGAUACGUAGGGUGCGAGCGUUGUCCGGAUUUAUUGGGCGUAAAGGGCUCGUAGGUGGUUGAUCGCGUCGGAAGUGUAAUCUUGGGGCUUAACCCUGAGCGUGCUUUCGAUACGGGUUGACUUGAGGAAGGUAGGGGAGAAUGGAAUUCCUGGUGGAGCGGUGGAAUGCGCAGAUAUCAGGAGGAACACCAGUGGCGAAGGCGGUUCUCUGGGCCUUUCCUGACGCUGAGGAGCGAAAGCGUGGGGAGCGAACAGGCUUAGAUACCCUGGUAGUCCACGCUGUAAACGGUGGGUACUAGGUGUGGGGUCCAUUCCACGGGUUCCGUGCCGUAGCUAGCGCUUUAAGUACCCCGCCUGGGGAGUACGGCCGCAAGGCUAAAACUCAAAGGAAUUGACGGGGCCCCGCACAAGCGGCGGAGCACGCGGAUUAAUUCGAUGCAACGCGUAGAACCUUACCUGGGUUUGACAUGGAUCGGGAGUGCUCAGAGAUGGGUGUGCCUCUUUUGGGGUCGGUUCACAGGUGGUGCAUGGCUGUCGUCAGCUCGUGUCGUGAGAUGUUGGGUUAAGUCCCGCAACGAGCGCAACCCUUGUUCACUGUUGCCAGCACGUUAUGGUGGGGACUCAGUGGAGACCGCCGGGGUCAACUCGGAGGAAGGUGGGGAUGACGUCAAGUCAUCAUGCCCCUUAUGUCCAGGGCUUCACGCAUGCUACAAUGGCUGGUACAGAGAGUGGCGAGCCUGUGAGGGUGAGCGGAUCUCGGAAAGCCGGUCUCAGUUCGGAUUGGGGUCUGCAACUCGACCUCAUGAAGUCGGAGUCGCUAGUAAUCGCAGAUCAGCAACGCUGCGGUGAAUACGUUCCCGGGGCU
Molecule: ribosomal RNA, 1346 nt
Filed under: uncultured bacterium
Lineage: Bacteria
Description: partial 16S ribosomal RNA
Rfam family: Bacterial small subunit ribosomal RNA
Source: RNAcentral